UACGUAGGGUGCGAGCGUUAAUCGGAAUUACUGGGCGUAAAGUGUGCGCAGGCGGCCGAGCAAGUCGAGUGUGAAAGCCCCGGGCUUAACCUGGGAACUGCGCUCGAAACUACUUGGCUUGAGUGUGGCAGAGGGAGGUGGAAUUCCACGUGUAGCGGUGAAAUGCGUAGAAAUGUGGAGGAACACCGAUGGCGAAGGCAGCCUCCUGGGCCAACACUGACGCUCAUGCACGAAAGCGUGGGGAGCAAACAGG
RNAcentral lists this ribosomal RNA (253 nucleotides) under uncultured bacterium. Its description in RNAcentral is "partial 16S ribosomal RNA". It matches the Rfam family "Bacterial small subunit ribosomal RNA", at positions 524 to 776 of the family's 1533-position model. The record is from RNAcentral.